GGAGAGGUGACAGAGCGGUUGAAUGUACCUGACUCGAAAUCAGGCGUAUGGAUUUUCUCCGUACCGUGGGUUCGAAUCCCACCCUCUCUA
Molecule: transfer RNA, 90 nt
Filed under: Burkholderia sp.
Lineage: Bacteria; Pseudomonadati; Pseudomonadota; Betaproteobacteria; Burkholderiales; Burkholderiaceae
Description: tRNA-Ser
Rfam family: tRNA
About the family: Transfer RNA (tRNA) molecules are approximately 80 nucleotides in length. Their secondary structure includes four short double-helical elements and three loops (D, anti-codon, and T loops).
Source: RNAcentral